AUACCUUUCUCGAUCUGUUGGCUAAGAUCAGUGUAGUAUCUGUUCUUAUCAGUUUAAUAUUUGAUACCUGAAUCUUUGGAUCCACAUGAUAUUAAUUUUUUUUAUGGGAAGAAUCUAUCUAUGUAGCUUGCUAAAUGGAUGGUUCUUAUGCGUCGUUCAAGCGUUGCACUGCUGCUUGGAACAGCCACACCCCCC
Triticum aestivum (bread wheat) is the source of this 195-nucleotide non-coding RNA. NCBI's taxonomy places the organism in Eukaryota, Viridiplantae, Streptophyta, Magnoliopsida, Poales, Poaceae. The record is from Rfam.